This 301-nucleotide ribosomal RNA is filed under the name uncultured bacterium. RNAcentral's name for it is "partial 16S ribosomal RNA". It matches the Rfam family "Bacterial small subunit ribosomal RNA", at positions 509 to 807 of the family's 1533-position model. The record is from RNAcentral.
CAGUAGCCGCGGUAAUACGUAGGGUGCGAGCGUUAAUCGGAAUUACUGGGCGUAAAGCGUGCGCAGGCGGUUAUGCAAGACAGAUGUGAAAUCCCCGGGCUUAACCUGGGAACUGCAUUUGUGACUGCAUGGCUAGAGUGCGGCAGAGGGGGAUGGAAUUCCGCGUGUAGCAGUGAAAUGCGUAGAUAUGCGGAGGAACACCGAUGGCGAAGGCAAUCCCCUGGGCCUGCACUGACGCUCAUGCACGAAAGCGUGGGGAGCAAACAGGAUUAGAUACCCGAGUAGUCCCUGUCUCUUAUAC